UACGGAGGAUGCGAGCGUUAUCCGGAUUUAUUGGGCUUAAAGGGAGCGCAGGCGGUCUGUUAAGUCAGCGGUCAAAGCCCGGGGCUCAACCCCGGCCCGCCGCUGAAACUGGCAGUCUCGAGUUGGAGAGAAGUAUGCGGAAUGCGCGGUGUAGCGGUGAAAUGCUUAGAGAUCAUACAGAACACCGAUUGCGAAGGCAUCUGACGAAUCGGAGAUUGACGCUGAUGCACGAAAGCGUGGGUAUCGAACAGG
This 252-nucleotide ribosomal RNA is filed under the name uncultured Bacteroidales bacterium. RNAcentral describes it as "partial 16S ribosomal RNA". It matches the Rfam family "Bacterial small subunit ribosomal RNA", at positions 524 to 776 of the family's 1533-position model. Lineage: Bacteria; Pseudomonadati; Bacteroidota; Bacteroidia; Bacteroidales. The record is from RNAcentral.